AGAGAGGAAGUGACUCUGAGUCCAGACUGCCCCGCACCACUGUCAGAGGAAAGAACUGAAGUCAAAUGAAGUGACAAUCUCCUGUAGAAUAUUUAACAGAGCGCGAGGCAGAGGAAAAUGGCAAUCUGGGAACAGACAACUGAGCCCCAGAACAGACACAGACUCCGGUGCCAGAACAGAUGCCAAGUACAGUAGAUCAUAAAAUGGGAAAAUUACCUCUGCCCCGUGGGCUGUGUGUUGACACAGCGGGGGAAGGGGCUCCCCAGCAGCCAGCGUAGCUGGCUCUCUACUCCCGCUCGGAGUGAUGGUUGUCACGGACCCUGCCAGCUCCGCUUCCUGCUCCUCUCUGUGUUUCCACCGGUGACAGAGCUGUACCCCUAGAGGAAUCUGUGUAACCUAGCAGCUAUGAGGAACCCAAGGAGCCUCUGAGACAGCAUUGCAUGGAUUCUUCGUCCGUGAACAAUUUGUUUCAUCACACACUAGGACACCCGUUUUGGUGGUACUUGUCAUCACUCUGACUGCAUAGUAUGAAAGGUUGCCAAGAGUUCUUCGCUGCUUUUCAGAUUCACUUGUCAUAAACAAAAUACGUGAUUAAGUGCCAUUUUCUCUAAAAGGAACUCGAUUUGACUCUCUACUUGGGAACAAAAAGGGAGAAGUAAAAGAGUAGUAAAUCUAAGUUAUUCCUUGCUUUUUUAAUCCCCAACAUCUAGAAUUAUAUGAGCAUAAUGGGUAUGCAGGUUAAAUUGGGUACUGUCACAUUUUUAAAGGCACUAUUUUAAUUUUUAAAGGAGUAUAAGUGUUUUUCUACAGAAUGCAACAAUGUAAAUCAGCUCCCGUAGAUAUGUUAUUAUCCCUAUGGUUCAGCAGAUAAAUUUUUAGUUUUCAUAGUCUGAACAUGGUUGCAGUAGGUUCGAUUUUCCAAAGAUGGCUGCAACAAUAUCUUCCAUCAACAAUCCCUUCUUAUGAUGUGGUUUUCCCCUUCCUCCCUACAGGAGGUAGAUUCAACCCUCUGCUCUUAAAACUGGGUGGGCUUUUGUGGCUAUUUUGACCAAUAGAUUAGGGCAGAAGCCACUCCUUGUGACUUCUGAGGUUAAGUUAUCCCAGUGAACGCAAUCCAACUAUCCGAAGACGUCCAUGCUGCAAGGAAGCCCAAACGACCAUGUGCAAAGGGCCCACAUGAAAAGGCCUGAAGUUACGUGAAGAGAGAGAGAGAUGCCAAGGCAAUCCCCAGAUGCUCUGCCCCUUCCACCUCUGCUGUCGCAGCGCCAGCCGCCGUCUGACCGUAACCACAUGAGAAACUUGGAGCAAAAACUGCCCAGCUGAGUCCUGCCAGGAUCUCAGAGCCACAGAAACCAUACAAGAUAAUAAAAUGAUUGUUCUCCUAA
This is a non-coding RNA of Vicugna pacos (alpaca), 1385 nucleotides long. The record is from RefSeq and is a predicted model, not a curated record. NCBI's taxonomy places the organism in Eukaryota, Metazoa, Chordata, Mammalia, Artiodactyla, Camelidae.